Molecule: small nuclear RNA, 189 nt
Organism: Paramormyrops kingsleyae
Lineage: Eukaryota; Metazoa; Chordata; Actinopteri; Osteoglossiformes; Mormyridae
Gene: U2
Rfam family: U2 spliceosomal RNA
About the family: U2 is a small nuclear RNA (snRNA) component of the spliceosome (involved in pre-mRNA splicing).
Source: Ensembl
AUCGCUUCUCAGCCUUGGCUAAGAUCAAGUGUAGUAUCUGUUCUUAUCAAUUUAAUAUCUGAUACGUCCCCUGUCUGGGGGCCAUAUACUAAAUUUAUUUUUGGAAGAGGGAGAUGGAAUAGGGGCUUGCUCUGUCCAACCCACGCGUCGACCUGGUAUUGCAGUAUCUGCAGGAACGGUGCCCCCCUA